Pungitius pungitius (ninespine stickleback) is the source of this 1080-nucleotide long non-coding RNA. RefSeq lists it as uncharacterized. Lineage: Eukaryota; Metazoa; Chordata; Actinopteri; Perciformes; Gasterosteidae. The transcript has 3 exons. The record is from RefSeq and is a predicted model, not a curated record.
GUCCACGCCCUUCACGACAACGCCACAGGCACACAAGGACGCUCUGUGUCGUGUGUCUGUCUGUUACGUCAGGACGCAAAAAGCACAAAGACCAGUGGAGCCAUGAAGCCAAACAAACAGUCUUUAACCUGCCAGCCGAAGAACUUUUACUUCCCUCAGGUCAUCAUAUAAUUGUAAGAUCCGCCUGCGAGCCGUUAUCUGGGGCACAUGACUGGGGCGAGGUGGCGGCCCGCCCUUCUGUGAGCGUUGAUGGGACCGGCGCAUCCAACCCGUCCCGUCAGGAGCCGCUUGUUCCUCCAGGACGCCAUCUGUUGCACAAACAUCCCUCAAUAUCACAGAGGACGGAGAGUCAAGGUACAGAGAGGAGAGAAAGGAGGAAAUUGAGAGAGGAUCAGCGCGGUUAAAGCCUUUUCUUCAUACAUAUUCUACUUCUAGUCUGAAAUGAAACUACACAGACAGCUGUUCAUAUCCGCAGCACAGAUGUUUCUGCUCAUUAAUGUGGGGAAAAGCCGUAUACGUUGGAGUUUUUCUACUUUAUAUAUUUAAUUUGAUUCUGCCCUUUUAGGAAAUGAGCAUUGGAACAGCGGCCUGGCAUCGUAUCAGAUCAAUGCCCCUUUCUGCUUAAAAAAAAAACAAGAGACCAAUGUUAUUGGUCCUGGUUUUAAUUCAAGGUGACCAUAGAUGACAGCCUCGAUGCUACGGCAUUGUGGACACCUGUUGGACAUCUGUUCCAGCCAUUUCACCCCCCGUUUAUUUUUAUUACAUCUUAAUUAAACCAAUGAUAUUACAUCACAGCUAUGUAAUAAAAUCCCACAAAGUUGUCUCUCUCAUAUAAACCUACCUCCGAAGUGGAAGGUUUCUACCAGUGGUCCUGUUGGGCUGUUUCAGUUUUAUUUCAAUUUAAUUUAAUUUAAUGUAAUAUGACCCUUUUAGAAUUUGGUCUGUCUGUAUUUUAAUAUAAAUUAUAUUAUAUAUUAUAACAUACGUGACCUAAUAUAAUUAUAUAAUGUUAUUUUAUCUUAUUUGGCAUAUUUUGGGAUGCAAAAGAAUGUUUAUUUUACCAAUUUGCACAAAAUAAAA